UCCAUGCAUUGGCUAUCUUCUAAUACCAUUCAUCGGCAACUUUAGCUUUGAUGGCUCUAAUCACUAAGUGCAUAUAUAGAAAGGAUCAUUUGACUAUACCAAGGUUAUUGAUGGAGCACUUGUAGAUAUCAAAUAGCAAGUGGCAGAAGCACUAAUCCUAUGCCCAUCUGAUUUCUAGAAUAUGUUUAAGGCCUCCUACCACAUCUCUGAUGUAGGGAUUGGAGGGUCCUUAGCCAGGA
RNAcentral lists this long non-coding RNA (239 nucleotides) under Elaeis guineensis (African oil palm). Its description in RNAcentral is "long non-coding RNA (EGUI_LNC047461)". Lineage: Eukaryota; Viridiplantae; Streptophyta; Magnoliopsida; Arecales; Arecaceae. The record is from RNAcentral.